CCUGUAAUGAGUAAAUGUCACCUUAUAUGGGAAAAGUGUGUUUGCAGAUGUGAUUGAAUUAAGGAUCUGAAGAUGGAAAAUUUCUCCUGGAUUAUCUGAGUGAGCCUUAGAUGCAAUCACGUGUAUCCUUAUAAGAGAGAAGCAGAGGGAGGUGUUAUGACACACUCAGAAGAGGAGGCAGAGGUUGGUGUGAUGUGGCCACAACCAAGGAAAACCUGCAGCAACCAGCAACUGGAAGAGGCAACAAACAGAUUUUCC
RNAcentral lists this long non-coding RNA (258 nucleotides) under Homo sapiens (human). RNAcentral describes it as "HSALNT0259797". The record is from RNAcentral. Lineage: Eukaryota; Metazoa; Chordata; Mammalia; Primates; Hominidae.